UACGUAUGGUGCAAGCGUUAUCCGGAUUUACUGGGUGUAAAGGGAGCGCAGGCGGCGCGUUAAGCCUGGUGUGAAAGCCCGCGGCCCAACCGCGGGACUGCAUUGGGAACUGGCGCGCUGGAGUGCCGGAGGGGUAGGCGGAAUUCCUAGUGUAGCGGUGAAAUGCGUAGAUAUUAGGAGGAACACCAGUGGCGAAGGCGGCCUACUGGACGGUGACUGACGCUGAGGCUCGAAAGCGUGGGGAGCAAAUAGG
This 253-nucleotide ribosomal RNA is filed under the name uncultured bacterium. RNAcentral's name for it is "partial 16S ribosomal RNA". It matches the Rfam family "Bacterial small subunit ribosomal RNA", at positions 524 to 776 of the family's 1533-position model. The record is from RNAcentral.